This is a long non-coding RNA of Rosa chinensis, 891 nucleotides long. RefSeq lists it as uncharacterized. Lineage: Eukaryota; Viridiplantae; Streptophyta; Magnoliopsida; Rosales; Rosaceae. The record is from RefSeq and is a predicted model, not a curated record. The transcript has 7 exons.
CCUACCGCCAAUUAUCUUGGUUAGGUCCAACACCUAAUCCCCGAGGUACGAUAAACUAAGGUCCAAUUACUUCCCUUACUUGACAACGAUUCGUACGCUUGCGAAGAGUUUAUGAACCAAGUCACCCUCUUAAGCUCACACACACUCUCAUCCUCCUGCGAUUCCGGCAAAGCAAGUUUGGGAACCAUCUCCAAGCACCUCUUGAGUAUACAAGUUUGGGUUCUUGCUCGGUUGGUCGCACUCUGCAAUUUUCAGCUUAUUUUUUUCUCUAUCUUGCCUUGUUUUGCAUAUUGUUAUUGUUGGUCUUUCAAGUGAUUUAUCUCUCAGAGUUGUGUUCUAGGGGGAAGAGGACAAUCGAAGUAGCCGGUUGAAAUUGUCAAUGUUCCUGCUGCUAAUGUAGCCUCAAUUUGGUUUUAAUGUUGCAAAGAACGUCAAUGGCAGACAAUCUUAAGGAUCAAUGAUAUCUUUUGCUAUACUAGAUGAAUCACUAGUACAUUCAAACAAUUGAUACCUUGGACAAAAGAAGAGUUGACAGGUUAGUUGAAAGCUCAAUGCUAGCUAUCAGUUGAGUGACGAGCCCAGAUUUCUCUUUUGUAGUUAGGUGGGAUCUGAUAUCAUCACUUGUGCUCAUGGAAGAGCUCAUAUUGAGUGCGGUUCUAAAAUGAAACACUAAAGUGUAUGAAGGAAGUUGGUGAAAUCGACACUUGUUAAUAUAUUUGUACUCUAUAGUUAGUGAUAUAGGAAAACAAUUUCAGUAGCUUUCAAGAUAUUAUGCUGAUCACAACAAUGGCUGUACUUGAAAUUAGCUAAUGUAAAAGCUAGCUGCUAGCUAGUAUAGUAUCCUGAAACUGAUGGGAUUGUAGUUUGGUGGGUUACUUGAUGCAAUGAGAA